RNAcentral lists this ribosomal RNA (1029 nucleotides) under Triticum aestivum (bread wheat). Its description in RNAcentral is "partial small subunit ribosomal RNA". The record is from RNAcentral. Lineage: Eukaryota; Viridiplantae; Streptophyta; Magnoliopsida; Poales; Poaceae.
AUGUCUGCUUUAAGGCCAGCAUGGGGUAAUCCAAAGGGAUUGACUGCAAAACCAGUAGCAGACAACACAUUCAUUGUAGAAUUUGCUUCCCAAUCAGACAACAAAAUAGUUAAAGAUGGGGGGCCAUGGACAGUAGGGAAACAUGUUGUUUUUUUUAACGAAUUUGAUCAGACUCUAAAGCCAUCAGAGGUGACAUUUGACAGAGUCAUGCUAUGGGCAAGGAUAAUGAACCCUCUGUUCGAAUUGAUGAAUAAAACAUGGGUGGAAUAUCUGGGAGCCAAACCAGGCAAGGUGGAGAAAGUUGAUGUGGAUGAACAAGGUAGAGCAUCCGGGAAUUGCUUGCGUGUUAGAGUCUCAGUUGGGGUUGCUCAACCUUUGAGGAGAUGGGUCACAGCUUUCUCACAGAAACACAAGGCAAUAGAAAUAUACGAGGUGAGAUAUGAAAGGCUUCCCCAUUAUUGUUUCUCUUGUGGUAUAAUUGGCCAUUCCUCUCUGGAAUGCCCAACACCUGGGGAGAGAGAUAAGGAGGGAAAGCUACCAUACAAUGCUAAUAAACUGUGUUUUAAAGAGGACAAAAAGAAGUAUGCCUCAAUGUACAUAUCUGAACCUAGUUCCCAGUCAAGUGGCAAAAGCACAUAUCAUGAAGACAAAAAUGGGGAUUCAAUUGUCCCUCCAAAAUCCAACGACGGGGAAAGGAAGAUAGAGGUGAAUGGGGCUCUCGAUAAGGUUACAUCGCUAAUGAAACAAAAGGAGCAAAUCUACAAACAAAAAGGUAAGAAGGAGGAGGACAGAGCAAGUAAAGCGUUGUUUUCUGCACAACUAGGUGGUGCAAAGAUCACUGGGCAGAAGAGGAAACACGUGAAGGUGUAUAGACUGAAAGGGCAGACGCAGGCCUCGGGAGACAAGAAAAUCCUUGAGGCCCCAAACCUGCCAUUAAUCUUAGUAGGGCAGGACGCAAACAAUGCCUACCCUACUCCAUCUCUAGCAACCAGUGUUGAUGAUGCUCUGAGUGACUCACACAAGAAUUGA